GCAGCCGCGGUAAUACGGAGGAUCCAAGCGUUAUCCGGAUUUAUUGGGUUUAAAGGGUGCGUAGGCGGAUUGAUAAGUUAGAGGUGAAAGCUCGGGGCUCAACUCCGGAACUGCCUCUAAUACUGUUAAUCUAGAGAGUAGAUGCGGUAGGCGGAAUGUAUGGUGUAGCGGUGAAAUGCUUAGAGAUCAUACAGAACACCGAUUGCGAAGGCAGCUUACCAAACUAUGUCUGACGUUGAGGCACGAAAGCGUGGGGAGCAAACAGGAUUAGAUACCCC
This 278-nucleotide ribosomal RNA is filed under the name uncultured Prevotella sp. RNAcentral's name for it is "partial 16S ribosomal RNA". It matches the Rfam family "Bacterial small subunit ribosomal RNA", at positions 511 to 788 of the family's 1533-position model. The record is from RNAcentral. Lineage: Bacteria; Pseudomonadati; Bacteroidota; Bacteroidia; Bacteroidales; Prevotellaceae.